UCAGUAUUGUUUGUUGAUUUCUAUUUAUUUCCCCAGCUUUUUAGUUUAGAGAGAUUGAGGGUUCAGUUCUUGGUCUUUUUAUUUUCUAUGUCUCAUUCCCUAAGGCAUUCAUUAUACAAUUUUAAAUCCUAGCCAUAUGCUGAUGACUCCUUGUGUCUUUGGUCCAAAUUUCUUUCUUGAACUCAAGACUUCCACACUCAAGUUCCUGCUUACAUAUUCAUAUUUUUCCUAAAGAUUUUAAAAGCCUCUUCAACUAAAAUUAACCACCCCUACCUGUGGCUUUUCAAUAAACCUUACUUUUAUACUUUGUUGAAUGCCUUCUACAUCCUAGAUUCACAUAUGUUCUAUGAUUUAAUAAUUUAUUCCAACCAGUAGUGCAAUGCCUAUGAACUUUUAAUAAAUGUUUUGUGAAGAAUGUAUAAAUUCUCACUAAAGUCCUAUAAAGUAAAAAAUUAUCAUUCCUAAUAUAAUGAAGAAAAUGUGUUUCAAUAGCAUUAAGCAUCUUGUAGAAGGAUUUAUAGCUGGUAAAUUGACUCAGGGUGAAACUCAAGGCCUUUGACUCUAAUUCCAGUGCUUUCUCCACUUCAGCACACUCUUCAACCAUAUGGGUCAUAGUCCCCAGUUUAGACGUCAGUGAACAAGUUGCCUGCAUGGGCUGUCACCCCAGUGCUUUUUAUUCAAUAGGAGAGAGAUUGAGCGACUUUAUGUUUUGCAAACAAAAGGUUAUAAACUUAGUGUUACUAAAUGAAAACCUUGUAUUACUUACAUGUUUGGCUUUAUAAUUUUCCCUUUUAUUGUUAUGAGAAGACAUACAAGUAGAUAAAAUCUCAACUUGCCAGUUCUUUUCUCCAGAGAAAAUUAGGGUUAUUAGGGUUACUAAUUUCUCCUGCAGUCAUACAUAGAUAUUUUGUGUAUAUAAAACCAUACAUGUAAUUUUAAAUUUAUUUUGAUGUAGUCAAUUUUUUAAACGAAGGGACUGUCCUCUGCACUGCAGGAUGCUUAGCAGCAUCCCAGACUUGGUCAGUAGCACCCUCCCUCCCAGGAGGACAACCAAAACUGUACUCCCAAGUGCCAAACGAGGACAAAAUCACCUCUGGAUGAGAACUACUAAGCUGGAAAAUGAAGCACUCAUACACAGAAUGUAAGACUAUCACACUUAUUGGAAUCAGAGAAUGUGAUGAAAACUUGAUCACAUUAAGAAGGCAGAUGUUAGGCUACAAAGAUAAAGUAUCAAUGGACAAAAAUCUACUACCUCAAUGUAGCAGGUUAACUUUGGAAAGAGGCUCAUGCAUGACUCAGGCAUGUGAGUUCCUGGUUGCUUCAGAUGUGUGUGUCUGUUUGCCCAUGUCUUAUAAGGUUCAUCAGUUGUAACAAAUGUACUACUCUGAAGAGAGAUGUUGAUAAUUGAGGAGGAAUGGGAGUAUAUAGGAACUCUUCAUACUUUCCACUCAAUUUUACUGUGCAUCUAAAAUUGCUCUAAAAAAUUAAAGCCUUUAAAAAUAUAUGUAUAUAAACAUGCCAGCACCUAAAAGCCUCUCAUGAACUUAGGGGUUGUGAGGUUGUGAGUGCGAGUGUGUCAUGUUUGGUUGUUUAUUUAAUUACACACCAAGUCAUUUAAAUAUAGAAAUCAUGUCUUAAGUAUCCUUGAUUUUAAUUUUUAAAUAAAUUUUGUUUUGUAUCUCAAAGUGUUAUUUUACUUUGAGAGUAUCUCAUAGUUUCAUGCUUUACACCUUAGAGAUGCUUGUAUAUAGUAAAAUAAUUACUAUAGUGGAACAAAUUAACAUACAUAUAGCCUCACAGAGUUAUUCAUUUUCUUUACCCCUGUGGCAAGAGCAGCUAUAAUAUACUCAUGUAGCAAAAAUCCUGAAUACAAUACAUUAUUAUUAACUAUUGUUUUCACAUUGUACAUUAGAUCUUUAGACUUGUUUGUCCUACAGCUCAAUAGCAAGAAAAUAUAUGAUCCGAUUAAAAAAUUGGCAAAGGACCUGAAUAGAUAUUUCUCCAAAGAAGAAAAAAAAAUGGCUAACAGGCAUACCUAAUCAAUCAUAGCAUGCCUAUACUGCUCUUAAACACAAAGCUCAGCAUGAAACCAAAAAUAAUUUGUAAUCACUGCUUUAAAUAGUACUCACUAUAACAGUGUUUAUUGACCUGCUUUCCCCAACUGGGAGAAUAUGCACAGGUUCAGCUUUCACAUUUGAGACGCUAAAAAUAAAAACAAAAACAAAACUCAUUUCUUAUUUAGCCAACAUUUAAUGUGCACCCACUAUGCGUCAGGCUUUUUGCCCAGGCAGUUCAAUUCAAAUUCUCCCUUCUGUGCAGAACUAAGGGGUUCAGUAUUUAUUUCAUUUGCUAUACGCCCGCUGGAUAUUUUUAAAAGAACAGAACAAAUGAACCAGAGUGCAUUAUCUCAUGCAUUUUUUUCUUCUCACAAUAGUCCCAUGAGGGAUGUAUUAUCCCAUUUUACAAAUAAGACAACCAAGAACACAAGAAUUUAAUAACUUCCCUGAAGGUCAAAUUAAUAUGCUGAAGAGCCAGGAUUCAAACCAGGAGUUUUCUGGCCCUGGUUACUUUUAUUCUUUCCACUGCUCUGCACUGCUUUAUCUCAUUACUGAUGGUAGAAUUAAUUGCUCUAAAAGUAUCAGUUUCUAUUUUAUUUAUAAGCAGUUACAUAGAAGUCAUACAGCUUCAGAAUUUGAAGGGACUUUAGAAAUAGUGUAUUCUUCUUUUUGUAGUAAUAUGUUAUUCUUGUUUUUCAUAUGGAUGUAUAUUUCACCAGGAAGGGGAACUGACUUACUUAGGGCUGGAGCUGGAAUUACAAUCUGAGUCUUUCAUUCAGAGCUAAUCCAUGUUUCUUCCAUCCCAUCUUAUAUGCCUCAUCUGAUUCUUUAUGAAUUAGAAAAGCAGGGUUUUACAAUUGUAAUUAUUUUAACAUUUUAUGACAUCUAAGAAUGUAACUGAUACUUUCAAAUAUAUUAUCUCUUUUCAUUCUUAUCAUUGCCCUCACUGCCUGGCCCUACUUUAAUAGAGUCAGUUUCAUUUCAGUUAAUUUCACCAAAUAUUGAGCACCUAUUAUAUUACCAGAGGAGUGCUGUGGGAACACAAAUAUGAGAAAGGACCAGGCUGAGUUGGUCACCAGAGAACUUGUGGUCAAUAGGAGGAUUAUAUGUUUCAAGGUCAAGUAUGACAAGUACUGUAAGAGCCAUCUCAAAAAAAAUCUUCUGAGUAAAAAUGAGUAAAGAAAUAUCACAUAAUUUGUGGGAGAGUGUAACAUGGGAUGAGUUAGGAAAGGCUUUGUAGAAUAGGUAGCCAUUGAAUUGAAUCAAGAAAUAGGAUAGAGCUAGAAAACAGUUUUAACAAACACAAAGACAUGUGAAAAGAAGAAGAGACAUUUUGGGCCCUGUAAGUACUAAGACCAGCAGCAAUUUUCACAGUGGUAAUGCAACCAUUUACUCAACAAUGCUGGAUUGACUUGGUUACAAUCAGAGAGCGUCUUUAGUCUAUUAUUUCUCUUUAUUAAGCCCACUCUAUGUACGGGCUGCUGGUGUAUCCAGGACACCCAGUGCAUGGCACCUCUCUUCCCUGUCUGAAUUUUGAACAAUUGGAGAGACAAGACAGAGAAGAAACAUUUGGAGAUCAAAUCUAGCCUUCAUGUUGCAGAAAAGCUAAUUGUAGAAAUUAGCCGAAUGUGAGAGCAAAGUGCAUGUGGGAAGUGAACUCCCAAUUUAUUCAGACUUCCCCAACUGUCACAGGUACGCUGGCCCAAGGCGAGCAUCCGUAGAAUGGGGGGGUGCUGCCCAGUUCCCUUAAACCGAGUGAUGCCACACCUCUAGCUGGCUCUUCCAAGCUCUCCUCCUGCUCCUUAGGCUUCUGAUAACCUGAGUCACAUACAGUCCAGGCUGUUUUCAAACUUUGGGGGUCACAUAUGGCCUCCUAGGAAACACUGCUUGCCCCCUGGACGGGACUCCAUCUCCUUCCUCUGCUUGGGUAUCUGAGGUACAAAGCACUGAUCUCUGUUCUCCCAACCAUUGUCUUCCCCAGGCAAAGGUCAUGUGUGACUCAAUCCCAUUAUGCACAAGCCCAGCAAUCUAAUGGUUCCACUAAAGUCGCUUUCACUUGGAUUGAGGUAGGGAGAUAUUGGAUUUCGUUUGGCUACUAAAUCACAGAUCCAAAAGGACAGUGUAUACCCAAUACCAGCUUCAAUCUGAAAUUGUUGAUCUCUGAAUCUAAUCCAUUUAUCACACAGGCCAGGCUUGAGAGGAAGGUAUCAUCCUUAACUCCGCCUGCUUCCUCUCUCCCCUAAUUAAAUUAGUUACCUAGUUACUUGUUUAUUGUGCCUUAGGAGAGCCCUCAUUGCACUUCCAUUUUGGUAGAGUACAUUAUUCAUCAGUAACCCAAGGAUAUGAUUAUCUUUACACUUAAAUUGUACAAGUUAAAACAAACAAAAAAAACAGAAGUUCAAGAAAGCCUUAUAUAUCCUUAGUACUAGUCCACAUGUUUUCCCUUCUUAUUGCUAUUACUCUCUGUCCACAUUCUGUGAAUGACCAAUUAUUUGUCCUGUCUCAAUAUUCUUUACCAAUUUUAAAAGCUUAUCAGGUAAAAAAGAAGAUACCAGCCAGUCCAAAUAGAGUAAGCAUUUAACAUACCACCUCUUCACUUCCACCUUGGUGUUAUACCAGCAAUCAACACAGGUUUCCAGGGCUGAAAUUAGGGAGAUUACAUUUUAUGAUGAUGAAAAUCUCUCUUUGGAGGGUAGCAUUUUACCUUGUGUGCAAUGAAAAUCUGUUCUGACAGUUCCAAUUAUGAGAAACACUCCACCACUAACAGUUUGGCCGUGACUCACCUCCAAGUGUUUCCGUCUGCAACAUCUGUCCAGUUUGCCUUUUCUUUUUUAAAUCACAAUUUAAUUUUACAUGGAGGAUGCUUGUAUAAAGCAAGACCCACACACCGUUUUAUCAGGGAACCAUUUAAAACAAGCAUGUGAUUUGGGAUGCAGAAAAUACUUCAGCCUCCAAAACUUUUCUAAACAGAUUCUGGUCUUUUGUAUCAUUUCUGCCGUGGAGUAAUAGGGCUAAGAGCUGAAUUUUAUGCUCUCAGUAACUGAGAACACUAGUAGAUGAUGUACUUGUAUUCAUAAACCAUGGUCCUAGCAGAAUAAUGUAUCUCUUCUUUUAAUAUUCAGAUUUUUUUACUUAGGUUUUUAGAGAGGCCUUGGUGUGCAGUCCCUUGUCAAGUUCAAGAGUUAGUUCUCCUGGAUAAUAUUCCUCUCCCUUUAUGACCACCAUGAUUUAUACAUUACUUUUGUCAUGGGGUAUGUUCUUUGAGAUUUUCUCAAUAAGCUCUCUGAAGCUAGCAUAAAUUAUCUUCUUAAUAUUUGAGAAAUAUUGUAGUUUUAUGCAGUUCCUUAAGAACUCUGACCCUUUUUAAAGCUAAUCCUAAAUAAAUUUUAUUUCUAACCUCACUGUUUUACAUACAAAAAUUCAUUGUGGCAGUGCAGUUACUUUUAUGCUAGACCUUAUUAUAUUAGAGGUUGAUAUGGUUUGGCUCUGUGUCCCCAUCCAAAUCUCAUCUUGAAUUGUAGUUCCCUAUCGUAAUCCCCACAUGUCAUGGGAUGGACCCGCCACCAUAUGAAGAAAGAUGUGUUUGCUUCCACUUCUGCCAUGAUUAUGAAGAAAUUGAGGCACUGAGAAGUUAGCUAUUUUGCAUAAGGUCAACCAGCUAGUAUAGCAGGGUAGAAUAAGACUUGGGAAAUCUGACUCCAUAUCCCUGAUAUAUAACUACUUUGCCAUCCUACUGAGGAGAGAGAUCCUAAACCCUCCAGAGAGGGCUUGGGACAUAAGGAGAGGAUGGGACAUUAUACAUGGUCCCUUGGUGUGAUGAGCUGAUCCCCAGGUAUCACCUCCAAGCUUUGACCACCAGUCUGGAGCUUACUGUCCUACACACUCACCCUCUUCCUUCUACCCCUCCUGCCACACACACAUCACUGCAGUCUUGAGUCCCUCUGGACCUCAGUUUCUACCUCUCUUCCUUUGGAAAUGUCUGCUUUUCCCCCAGUCAUUCUUGCAGCUCAUUCUUGCUUAGGUUGUCAGUUGUAACUAUUCCACCUUCACUUGUUUCCAUGGCUAGAUUAGGUAAGAUAGAAUUCAGGGCCCCAGGGAUAUCCUCAUCCAGUGCCAAGAGUACAAGUGACAGCUGACUUUCCGGUUUCCAGAUGAUGUUGGAACCCAUCUGGAUGGCAACUCCAUCUCUAUGCUGGUGUCUUGCCUGGGAGGCAAAGUUCACAUGGGGAAGGAAUAGGAAUGGAAUCUUUAAACUGUGAAAGGAAAAUAAAUCUUGGGGCCCCCAAAUCACUAAGCUAAAG
RNAcentral lists this long non-coding RNA (6358 nucleotides) under Homo sapiens (human). RNAcentral's name for it is "HSALNT0318253". Lineage: Eukaryota; Metazoa; Chordata; Mammalia; Primates; Hominidae. The record is from RNAcentral.